Molecule: ribosomal RNA, 364 nt
Filed under: Kocuria palustris
Lineage: Bacteria; Bacillati; Actinomycetota; Actinomycetes; Micrococcales; Micrococcaceae
Description: bacterial SSU rRNA
Rfam family: Bacterial small subunit ribosomal RNA
Source: RNAcentral
GAACGGGUGAGUAACGUGAGUAACCUGCCCUUGACUCUGGGAUAACCCGGGAAACUGGUAAUACUGGAUGCUACAUGUCACCGGGUUGUGUGGAAAGUUUACUGGUCUUGGAUGGGCUCACGGCCUAUCAGCUUGUUGGUGAGGUAAUGGCUCACCAGGCGACGACGGGUAGCCGGCCUGAGAGGGUGACCGGCCACACUGGGACUGAGACACGGCCCAGACUCCUACGGGAGGCAGCAGUGGGGAAUAUUGCACAAUGGGCGAAAGCCUGAUGCAGCGACGCCGCGUGAGGGAUGACGGCCUUCGGGUUGUAAACCUCUUUCAGCAGGGAAGAAGGACGGUACCUGCAGAAGAAGCGCCGGCU